GAAUAUUGGACAAUGGGCGAAAGCCUGAUCAAGCCAUGCCGCGUGUGUGAAGAAGGCCUUUGGGUUGUAACGCUCUUUAAGCGAGGAGGAGGCUACUUGGAUUAAUACUCUAGGAUAGUGGACGUUACUCGCAGAAUAAGCACCGGCUAGCUAGUGGCCAGCAGCCUCGGUACUACAGAGGGUGCGAGCGUUAAUCGGAUUCACUGGGCGUAAAGCGGGCGUAGGCGGCUUUUUGAGUCGGAUGUGAAAUCCCUGAGCUUAACUUAGGAAUUGCAUUCGAUACUGGGAAGCUAGAGUAUGGGAGAGGAUGGUAGAAUUCCAGGUGUAGCGGUGAAAUGCGUAGAGAUCUGGAGGAAUACCGAUGGCGAAGGCAGCCAUCUGGCCUAAUACUGACGCUGAGGUACGAAAGCAUGGGGAGCAAAC
Molecule: ribosomal RNA, 423 nt
Filed under: uncultured bacterium
Lineage: Bacteria
Description: partial 16S ribosomal RNA
Rfam family: Bacterial small subunit ribosomal RNA
Source: RNAcentral